This 28-nucleotide small RNA is filed under the name Bombyx mori (domestic silkworm). RNAcentral's name for it is "ovarian small RNA-6394". Lineage: Eukaryota; Metazoa; Arthropoda; Insecta; Lepidoptera; Bombycidae. The record is from RNAcentral.
UAGGAAAGGAAACUCUCCAGAGUCAAGA